UUUACUGUUAAACUAGAGGCUCUAAAGAGCCUGUGUCGCUCACCUUGGUCUAUGUGAAUAUUCAACAAAGGACACAGAUGGAUUCAUGACAAAAUUGUGUUUUGGUGAUGGCGAUGUGUUUGUAGAUCUUACUUUAUUGAACAUUCUUGCUGCUUACAAUUAUCUCUAUCUAUAAUGAUUGGCCCAGUAGUUUCAGUGGAAAAUGUUAGUAAAAUUUACAAAGUUUAUGAAAAUUGUUAAAAAUUGACUAUAAAGGACAAUAACUCCUUAGGGGGUCAAUUGUCCAUUUCAAUCAUGUUGACUUAUUUGUAAAUCUUACUUUGCUGAACAUUAUAGCUGUUUACAGUUUAUCUCUAUCUAUAAAAUAACCAAAAACAGCAAAAUUUCCUUAAAGUUACCAAUUCAGGGGCAGCAACCCAACAAUGGGUUGUCCAAUUCAUCUGAAAAGAUAGAUCUUGACCUGAUUAACAAUUUUACCCCGUCAGAUUUGCUCUAAAUGCUUUGGUUUUUGAGUUAUAAGCCAAAAACUGCAUUUUACCCCUAUGUUCUAUUUUUAGCCGUGGCGGCCAUCUUGGUUGGAUGGCCGGGUCACCGGACACAUUUUUAAAACUAAAUACCCCAAAAAUGAUUGUGGCCAAGUUUGGAUUAAUUUAACCCAGUAGUUUCAGAGGAGAAGAUUUUUUGUAAAAGAUUACUAAGAUUUACGAAAAAUGGUUAAAAAUUGACUAUAAAGGGCAAUAACUCCUAAAGGGGUCAACUGACCAUUUCGGUCAUGUUGACUUAUUUGUAAAUCUUACUUUGCUGAACAUUAUUGCUGUUUACAGUUUAUCUCUAUCUAUAAUAAUAUUCAAG
RNAcentral lists this long non-coding RNA (852 nucleotides) under Mytilus galloprovincialis (Mediterranean mussel). The record is from RNAcentral. Lineage: Eukaryota; Metazoa; Mollusca; Bivalvia; Mytilida; Mytilidae.